AUGAAUGGCCGCGGUACCCUGACCGUGCUAAGGUAGCGUAAUCAGUUGGCUUUUAAAUGGAGUCAGGAAUGAAUGGAAUAACCGGGUUUAGCUGUCUCCUUCCUAAUCAGUUGAAUUUACUGUUCAAGUGAAAAAGCUUGAAUAAAGAAAAGGGACGAGAAGACCCUUAGAAUUUUUUUUAGUGGGAAAUUUUUUUCUAAUGAUUUUGUUGGGGCGACAUGGAAAUAUAUAAAAACUUUCCUUUAAUACUUGCCGAUUUUGUUAAGUUAGGAUAAAUUACCUGAGGGAUAACAGCAUAAUUCUACAGAUGAGUUUGUG
This 318-nucleotide ribosomal RNA is filed under the name Dendronotus frondosus (frond-aeolis). RNAcentral's name for it is "partial 16S ribosomal RNA". It matches the Rfam family "Archaeal large subunit ribosomal RNA", at positions 2000 to 2591 of the family's 2987-position model. Lineage: Eukaryota; Metazoa; Mollusca; Gastropoda; Nudibranchia; Dendronotidae. The record is from RNAcentral.